RNAcentral lists this ribosomal RNA (439 nucleotides) under uncultured bacterium. RNAcentral describes it as "partial 16S ribosomal RNA". It matches the Rfam family "Bacterial small subunit ribosomal RNA", at positions 339 to 795 of the family's 1533-position model. The record is from RNAcentral.
CUACGGGUGGCUGCAGUGGGGAAUCUUGCACAAUGGGCGCAAGCCUGAUGCAGCCAUGCCGCGUGAGUGAAGAAGGCCUUAGGGUUGUAAAGCUCUUUCGCUAGGGAAGAUAAUGACGGUACCUAGUAAAGAAGCCCCGGCUAACUCCGUGCCAGCAGCCGCGGUAAUACGGAGGGGGCUAGCGUUGUUCGGAAUUACUGGGCGUAAAGCGCGCGUAGGCGGACUGAUCAGUCAGAGGUGAAAUCCCGGGGCUCAACUCCGGAACUGCCUUUGAUACUGUCAGUCUAGAGACCGAGAGAGGUGAGUGGAAUUCCUAGUGUAGAGGUGAAAUUCGUAGAUAUUAGGAAGAACACCAGUGGCGAAGGCGGCUCACUGGCUCGGAACUGACGCUGAGGUGCGAAAGCGUGGGGAGCAAACAGGAUUAGAUACCCGAGUAGUC